GAUGAACGCUGGCGGCGUGCCUAAUACAUGCAAGUCGAGCGAACGGACGAGAAUCUUGCUUCUCUUAUGUUAGCGGCGGACGGGUGAGUAACACGUGGCUAACUUACCUAUAAGACUGGGAUCACUUCGGGAAACCUUAGCUAACAUCGGUUAAUAUUUUGAACCGCAUGGUUCUACAGUGAUAGCCGUUCUUGCUGUCACUUAUAGAUGUAUCCGCGCUGCAUUAGCUAGUUGGUAAGGUAACGGCUUACCAAGGCAACGAUGCAUAGCCGACCUGAGAGGGUGAACGGACACACUGAAAGUGAGACACGGUACAGACUCCUAGGAGAGGCAGCAGUAGAAAAUCUGCCGCAAGGGGCGAGAGCCAGACAGAGAAGCGCCGCGUGAGUGAUGAAGGUCUGGAGAGCGUAAAACUCUGUUAUGAGGGAAAAAGAUAUGUGUAAGUAACUGUGCACAUCGUGACGGUAACUAGUCAGAGAGCCACGGCUAACUACG
Molecule: ribosomal RNA, 495 nt
Filed under: uncultured bacterium
Lineage: Bacteria
Description: partial 16S ribosomal RNA
Rfam family: Bacterial small subunit ribosomal RNA
Source: RNAcentral